CCUGCAUCCGGAUUUCCACUUUCCCCAUUUUGCUGUCGAAGCUCUGCCCGUGCGGUCCCCUGCUCCAGGUAACUGUCUCCGUUCCUCCUCUCUUUGGAAGUCCUUUUUCCUCCAGGGGCCUGCCUCCAUUGUCCGUCUUCUUCCCAUUUUCUGCCCUUUGUCCUGGUUCAUGGCUAGAACAUCUCCAAGAGGGGGUCAGUCGGGGAACCCGACCGACGACCCUCGGUCGACUCCG
RNAcentral lists this long non-coding RNA (235 nucleotides) under Elaeis guineensis (African oil palm). RNAcentral's name for it is "long non-coding RNA (EGUI_LNC016568)". Lineage: Eukaryota; Viridiplantae; Streptophyta; Magnoliopsida; Arecales; Arecaceae. The record is from RNAcentral.